GGCUGGUUAGCGGGCCACGGCCAGAGGCGCUGGCACAUCCAACACCUGAGGAGGACCCAAGUCUGGUUAAGCUGGGAGGAGUACCCAAUGCCACCACCUCUAUCCCCAGCCUUCCCUGACUACUCCAGUGGCACCUCUUAGUUAACUGCAGUGGGGUUUAUGCCCAGAGGGCUUCUCGGCACCUGUUUCCCCUACUCUCAUCGAGGGCCAAUGGGGCUUAACAAGGGUCAAAAGAAGGGAAGAGCAGCUUCCAAGGAUCACCACUUUGGGGAGGUUUCUGGACUGGACUGUUUUGGAGACUUCCAGUGGCCCCUGUUGUUGGUGUGGAUCAAGAAAGGGUGGUGGGAACUCUCCCCUCCCUCAUUCCCUGAGGUAGAGUCAAGGGAAACCAACCACCCAUCCACCCAACUGGACCAGUUUCCUCAUUCUCCUUUUGGGCCAUGGGGAAUCUAUGGCUCUCUGGGAGCUGCUUCUAGCCCAAUGGCACUGAACAGGGGUCUAGGGAUGGGGCACAGCUUCUUCGGGGAGUUUUAGGGCCCUGUGCUGACAGCUCAUCACUAAUCACUUGCCAAUUCCCCAGGAGGAACGUGUCAGCAGGUGGGGUUUCUGCCAGAGUCCGAAGCAAGCGGGCAGCAGGAGAAGCAGUGGGGCUUGGGGAGGUAAGAGCCUCCCGCACCAGGCCAUGACACACCUGGGAGACAGGUAAGGGAGAAGAGAAGAGAGCAGCAGUGGCUGAAAAGGCAGAGGAGUGGGAGGGGCCAGGUAGUGGGGACUUGGGGGGUGUGGAGGAGAGGGCUGAGAGGAGGUCAUUCUAGGGGAUCUUGGAGACAGACUGCUGGACAGGAAGACAGAGUAGGGGUAGGGAUAAGGGAGUUCCAGGAAGCGGAGACCUUGGGCCAGAUUCUUGUUGGAGGGGAGGGUGGUAGGCAGCAUGGGAGAGGACAGAGGACAAGAGGGGACAUGUCUGGGCACAAGGAAAGGCAAGCAAUGGAGGCAGCAAGAGCCCUUGGCAGCAAGUUUCCAUCACCUUUGCCUGCCAGUGUGUGAGAGGCGCAGAGGGGCAGUGAGCAGGUGACAUGCAGCUUCCAGAUACCCACACACUGCUUUUCUCCCGCCCAGCUCCCACCCCAGUUAAUUGAGAUGGGAUUGUUUCUCUUUCUGGUUUCUUCCUAAGCCCCUCUCUCAUAUUCCUGGUGUGCUUAUGGCCUGGCACACCUUGUGAAACAGAAACCCAAGCUCCUCAUUUCGGAGCUGGGAUUUCGAUUGGCUAUCUGCCUCCCUAACCAAGCUGUCCCUUCCACCUCAUCCCUAGAGUCACCCUCUGGUCUCAUCAACAUCCAGUGGGCAUUUCAGUGGCCCAGGAUCCUUCAAAUUGCAGAUAUAAAGCAUCAGGACCCCACACCUGGGAUGGAAGCUUCUAGGAAUUAAUGAAGCCCCAGUAGAGAUGAGAAACAGGAGGAACAGGAUGUAUGUAACUUGCCCAAGGUCACAGAGCCAAGAGGUGGCUGAAGCCAGACUUGAACCCAGGCAUUCAGCUAAGAAACUGCAUUCUUAAGCAAAACAUCACAAGACCUGCUCUAGAGAAAGUGUUCCUGCCUCCUGCUAGGCAAGGUGAUGCCCUAGGGGAAAGGAAGGAGGAGAAAGAUACCCACAACAGGUGAAGGAGAGAAAGCAGUCCCACAGACACCCUUCUCUGCUGGAAAGUCCUUCCUAUCUGACUCCAGUCCCACUUGCUGGAGGAGUUCCCCUCAUUUUGUUUCUGAGACAGCCUUCUUCUGUGUAACAACUAUUCAGAGACUUGAAAUCUGCCUCUCUGGUUUCUUCUGUCUUUGCAAAUGUCACAUUAAAGAGAAC
RNAcentral lists this long non-coding RNA (1854 nucleotides) under Homo sapiens (human). Its description in RNAcentral is "HSALNT0242128". The record is from RNAcentral. Lineage: Eukaryota; Metazoa; Chordata; Mammalia; Primates; Hominidae.